GAAAUGUGAUAAGUAAUGUGAAUUGCAGAAUUCAGUGAAUCAUCGAAUCUUUGAACGCACCUUGCGCUCGCUGGUAUUCCGGCGAGCAUGUCUGUUUGAGUGUCAUGAACUCUUCAACCACGCUUUCCCUAGUGGUUAGCGUGUGAUUGGAUUCUGGGCGCUGCAUUUCUGAUGCUCGCCCGUAAUUGAUUAGCAAAUCGAAUCCGACUCGGAUUGACUCGGCGUAAUAGACUAUUCGCUGAGGACGAGAUGGACUGAUGGCUUCUAAUAACAAGUCAACCUUUAGACCUCAGAUCAGGCAGGAUUACCCGCUGAACUUAA
RNAcentral lists this unclassified non-coding RNA (321 nucleotides) under uncultured Microbotryomycetes. RNAcentral describes it as "sequence contains ITS1". The stretch from base 1 to 105 matches the Rfam family "5.8S ribosomal RNA", at positions 50 to 154 of the family's 154-position model. Lineage: Eukaryota; Fungi; Basidiomycota; Microbotryomycetes. The record is from RNAcentral.